This 254-nucleotide ribosomal RNA is filed under the name uncultured bacterium. Its description in RNAcentral is "partial 16S ribosomal RNA". It matches the Rfam family "Bacterial small subunit ribosomal RNA", at positions 524 to 776 of the family's 1533-position model. The record is from RNAcentral.
UACGUAGGGUGCGAGCGUUGUCCGGAAUUACUGGGCGUAAAGAGCUCGUAGGCGGUUCGGCAAGUCGGGUGUGAAACCCCCAGGCUCAACCUGGGGACGCCACCCGAUACUGCUGUGACUUGAGUCCGGUAGGGGAGCGUGGAAUUCCUGGUGUAGCGGUGAAAUGCGCAGAUAUCAGGAGGAACACCAGCGGCGAAGGCGGCGCUCUGGGCCGGAACUGACGCUGAGGAGCGAAAGCGUGGGUAGCAAACAGG